Colossoma macropomum (tambaqui) is the source of this 4438-nucleotide RNA transcript. It is a transcript of the gene named fatty-acid amide hydrolase 1, with no coding region annotated. The transcript has 14 exons. The record is from RefSeq and is a predicted model, not a curated record. NCBI's taxonomy places the organism in Eukaryota, Metazoa, Chordata, Actinopteri, Characiformes, Serrasalmidae.
UCACAGAGUACAAUGUCUUGGUAAGCCGGCCUACGUAAGCCCAAAGAGAGGACUGCCGAGUGGGAACUUCCCUCAGCUUUAUCGUGCAGGACUUUGGGCUUAUGUUGUGUCCCCAGAGUACUAUCCCGUAGACACACUGCUCUUGGUCGGAGUAGGUCUUUGGUUCUCAUAUAUUGUAAACUCUUUCAGCUCUUUGCUGUUAGAUACUGCUGUGGAGGAGUCUCUGCUCCUGGGACAUUGAAUGGGCGGGGCGUAGCGCGUAGUCCUCACACCACACCUUCUUCUUUUGCUUGCACUGACAGUAAGUCUGAUACAAACCGCUACAGACAUUUGUGUUUUGAAAGUGAAGAGGACAGUUCAUGCCAGAAAUGGAUCGUGAAUGGACAUCAGUGGUGGCUACUCUGACAUGUUGUACCGGUGCCACUGUGCUGCUCCUGAAGUGGCUCGGACACCAGAAGGUCCAGAAGAAGAUCCAGCGAGCCCGGGCGAGGAGAGAUGCAGGACUCAGCCAGGCACAGCAGACCGUGCAAGAGUUCAAGGAAAAGAAUCCUGGGCUUGAUCUGAGUCCCAUUGUGGAUCUUCCCUUGGCUGAGCUCACUAAGCAGAUAAAAGCUGGAUCCCUGCAACCUGAUGCUGUGCUCCAUGCCUACAUGGACAAGGUUCUGGAGGUGAACAGGAAACUGAACUGCAGCACUGACGUUCUGAUGGAAAGCGUGAAGCAGUUGUCAGAAAUCGAGUCCCACAGAGAUGGCCUUCUCUGCGGAGUUCCCAUAAGCAUUAAGGAAAACAUUGGGUACAAGGGCCAUGACUCUACUUGUGGCAUGUUGUGUAGGCUGGAUGACCCUGCAGUAAUGGACAGUGUGGUGGUCACUGUACUGAAGAGGCAGGGAGCAAUUCCCUUUAUCAAAACCAAUGUUCCACAGGGCCUUCUCAAUUAUGAAUGUAGUAACCCAAUCUACGGGAUGACCGUGAACCCCUGCAACCUGCAGAAGACGUGUGGCGGCUCGUCGGGAGGGGAGGGCGCUUUGAUUGGAGGGGGUGGCUCUAUCCUGGGUGUGGGGACUGACAUUGGUGGAAGCAUUCGCAUCCCAGCAUCCUUCUGUGGCAUCUGUGGCUUCAAGCCCACAUCCAACAGGAUAAGUUUGCGUGGAGCAAAUUCUUGUGUCAAAGGCAUAAAGUCAGUCAUGUCUUCCAUUGGUCCCAUGGCCCGAGAUGUGGAGAGUUUGGCUCUGUGCAUGAGAGCUUUGCUUUGUGAGGACAUGUUUACUCUGGACCCUACAGUUCCACCGUUACCAUUCAACCAACAGGUGUAUGAAAGUUCAGAUCGCCUGAGGAUAGGCUACUAUGAGAACGAUGGGUACCUGCAGCCAUCUCCGAGCAUGGCCCGAGCUUUGCAAGAGACCAAGAAACUUCUGGAACAAGCAGGCCACACGCUGGUUCCAUUUAAGCCCCCAGAAAUCUACACCGCCAUGCAUGAAUAUGUUGUGAAAGGCGCUGUUGCUGAUGGAGCCACCACCCUUCUAAGCCAACUCAAGGGCGGCCCUGUUGAUCCUUGUGUGCAGUCUCAGAUCAUGCCUUAUAUCUUUCCUCGCUUUGUUAACAAAAUUUUCUCCAUCAUCCUCAAACCUAUCUACCCACGUAUGGCUGCAGUUUUGGAUGCAAUUCAUGGAGUCAACUCUGUUGCAGAACUGUGGAAACAACACUACACUAUUGAGAAUUAUAUCCAUCAUGUGAUUUCACAAUGGAAGGAGCUGGAGCUGGAUGUGCUGCUGUGUCCUAUGCUGGGACCUGCCUACAACUUCAAUUACUGUGGAAAGCUCACAAGUACUGUACCACACUCUGCCUUAUUUGGAGUUUUGUACUCACCCGUCCUCAUUUCAGUUGCUUCAGAAUGGGAAGGUGGUUUACAGUAGUUUAUGGCACUUCUCAUGAAUAGAGCUACAUUUUUAUCCCAUUUCCUUUUUAAAAGCAAUAAAGUGACUGUUGCUUUUUCUGUAAAAAGUGAAUGGAUCUGUACUUUAACUUACAAUUAUGAAAAUUAGCAUUUAAAUGAUCACGAAAACACAUAAAAUGUCUGUAUCCACCUUUAAUAUGGUGAUUUUGGGCUGUCCCACCUCACGGACAUUGAACUUAUGAAUAUAUUCAUUAAAAUGUUUAAGUAACACCAUAAUUGCAAUGUUAUUUGGUUAAGUUCCAAGCAAUUUAAUGUUAAAAUAUUUUUCUAUUAAGCUAUUUAAUUUAAUGGAAAAAGUCACAUCAACGCUUUUUAUGUGCAACCCUGUUACCAAAACAUUUACCCCUCGUAAAUAUAUAUAUGAAUGAACUCUGUUCACGGAAAGUGCUUCACAUCAUCAUACAGUGUAGUAGCGUUGGGCAGUAUGGCAAAAAAAAUAACAUCAUGGUACAUAUACUUGUUAUAUCAAGUUAAGCAGGGCCAAUUAUGCUCUCUUGGACCCUCACAAAAAAGUAAAGCAAACAGGUCUUGAACAUAGUUUUUUUUUCUUGAACAUUGCACAAAUUUAUGUUUAAAUAUAUAUAUUUUUUUAAUAUUUCUGCUGCCAAAAAAUGUAAUUCUGGCUUAGGCUGUUGGUUAGCAACUUAGUGGUCAGUGAAAUGAUACAAUUAUGGUGAAAAAUCCUUGCUGUUAUCAGAUAUAACAACAUGCCUCUAAACAGUAGAUCAGAUCCAUCUGAGGGUCGUCUGAACAUGUAUAGAAAGUAUAAGAUACAUGAUCAGAGACACAAAUUUGCUGAAAUUUGAAUAGUGAUCUAGAAAUGUUGAAUAUUUCUUAUUUAUUUUUAAUACAUUGGCUUUGUUAAUACAUUGGCAUCUGUUAUCUCUAGUGAUACACUGGCAUCUGAUGUAAUUUCCUUCAUUUCCCAUUGUCAGGAAUGGGCCUUAUGUGCAUCAAGUGUUUCUGUAUAGUCCCUUAGUUACUCAUUUACUGUCUACCUGUCAUUGAUUUAACGUCUAUGUUUUUUUUGCCUGGGUCAAACACUUCUGCAUGUUCCUCUCUUAACUCUUACACAACAGUUAGGAAAAGAAAAAGAAAGCAACUGCCUGGUUUACUGUCCAUUCUUGAACUCAUUCAGUGUUAUUACCUUAUGGAUGUUCUUGAAUACAAUUCUACAGUACAAUUAAGCUAUUCUAUGUAUCCAGCAUAGCACCUCCAAUCAAUAGUUUUUUUUUUUCAAAAAUGAUUGAAAAACAAAAAAAUUACUCUGCACUUUUGGACUUCAGUUCUUUUAAAAUAUGAAUAUUUGAGCAUUCCUGAAGCAAACAUAAAAAAACACCUUAAAGCAGUAUUUCUAAAUCCUACUUUUGGUGACCCACUGCACAGUUUCAAGUAUUUCUUUAUUCAAGGCAGCAGCUCAUCAACUGAUAAUAGAGCUGAAUUAGGUGUGAUGAGAUAGGGAAUGGUUGAAACUGUGCAGUGCUGUGGGUUGUUAGGAGAAACACUGCCUUAGUGUUUUCCUGUGCACUAAAAAUCUGAAUGCAAAGUUUGUGGCUUUUACUAUCAAACCUGUCUGAAAACAAAAGUUAGCUGCUUAGGGCCAUUGGGUUAAUCACUGCAUUUCAGUUACAUUUAAUUCCAGAUAUGAACGUUCAUUCACUUUAGUGCUGCUUAAUGACAUUUAUUAUUCAUUAUUUAGAACUUGUGUUAUUUCUUGUCUUCUGGUUUUUGCAUCUAUUGUCUUGCAUCUAACAAGAAGCUUAUGACCACCUGUUUAGCAUCAUACAACUGAACCUUAGUACAAUAACAACAUUUAGGAUUCUUUAAUGUCACGUAACACUGCUGAUAUCUGGAUUCUGAAUGGCUGUUUAUGUUGAACGAUAAAUUGUUUGGGUCUCAUAGAGAAAUCAGUUUCCCACUAGUAAUUAUAAUAUUGAGGUGCCAUUCAUGUCCGGUCAUCUCGUAAAUACGCCAUUUCCGACACAACGAAGGCAGCAGAAGAGAUGAGGUACUUCGCAACCUAAAGCCCAGCAAAUCAAAUGUUAUGGUUUUGAAAUGUCAAGCAUUUUAAAGUAGUUUUCUGCUAAGGCUUAUAAACAGCUUUGUCUACUAUCUUUUUUGGGUUUGAAAAGGAAAAUGCAUCAGAAUGCAAUGACUAAUGGGCAAGUUCUGCUGCUGGAGUCAACACUGGUGUUCACUUGAUCCCUCAGCCUUCCAAGGGCUCAUCUAACACCCUUCCCUUAAUCAAAUAAAGUGAUGGAACAGCCCUUAAGAUGGCACCAGGGAUUUCCCCAAGGGCAAUUGAUGAGGCCAAGUGGAUGAGGGCAUGUUAAAGCUGGUGCCCUGAGUUACACCAUGCUGUACAAUGUGCUCAACUUCCCCGUGGGGGUCGUGCCUGUAACCACAGUAACAGCCGAAGAUGAAGCCAAGCUGAGUCAUUACAGAGGAAAUUUUGGAGAUAUCUGGGACAAGCUGUUUGUCAAG